GGGCUUUUGAGCGAUAUUAUAGGCUCUCAUAACGGAGUGGUCGCGUGUUCGAAUCACGCAGGACCCACCA
This 70-nucleotide transfer RNA is filed under the name Sulfurimonas gotlandica GD1. Its description in RNAcentral is "tRNA-Tyr (ATA) (tRNA-Tyr-ATA-1-1)". Lineage: Bacteria; Pseudomonadati; Campylobacterota; Epsilonproteobacteria; Campylobacterales; Sulfurimonadaceae. The record is from RNAcentral.